This 253-nucleotide ribosomal RNA is filed under the name uncultured bacterium. RNAcentral describes it as "partial 16S ribosomal RNA". It matches the Rfam family "Bacterial small subunit ribosomal RNA", at positions 524 to 776 of the family's 1533-position model. The record is from RNAcentral.
UACGUAGGGGGCAAGCGUUGUCCGGAAUCAUUGGGCGUAAAGGGCGCGUAGGCGGCUCCGCGAGUCGGGGGUGAAAUCGUUCAGCUUAACUGGACAAGGGCCUCCGAGACCGCGGGACUCGAGGGGGAUAGGGGUGCGCGGAACUUCCGGUGGAGCGGUGAAAUGCGUAGAUAUCGGAAGGAACGCCGGUGGCGAAAGCGGCGCACUGGAUCACUACUGACGCUGAGGCGCGAAAGCCAGGGGAGCAAACGGG